GGUGAAUUACUUUAAGUAUAGAAGAUUAAGUUUGCAACUUACAUAGUAUGAUUGUCUCAUGUUCGCUU
This 68-nucleotide transfer RNA is filed under the name Isorropodon fossajaponicum. RNAcentral describes it as "tRNA-Ala". Lineage: Eukaryota; Metazoa; Mollusca; Bivalvia; Venerida; Vesicomyidae. The record is from RNAcentral.